This is a long non-coding RNA of Panthera uncia (snow leopard), 825 nucleotides long. RefSeq lists it as uncharacterized. The transcript has 3 exons. The record is from RefSeq and is a predicted model, not a curated record. Lineage: Eukaryota; Metazoa; Chordata; Mammalia; Carnivora; Felidae.
GUCCUAUCCCUCAGUCCCUAAGUAUGUGACCUCUCUGGAAAUAGAAUGAUUGCUGAUGUAAUUAGUCAGGUUAAGAUGAGGUGUUACUGGAGUAGGUUGGGCCCUUAAUCUAAUAUCACUGCUAUUUUUAUAAGAAGAGGAGAGAGAGACACAAGGAAGAUGACCAUGUGAAGACUAAGGCAGAGAUUGGAGUUACGUGGCCACAAACCAAGGAACACCAGGACCUCCAAAGAGUGAGAAGAGGCAAGCUUUUGUGAGUGUUCAACAUUCAACCCCAAGAAACGUUCAGAAGGAGUGAUGAAGGCUGAAUACUAAAGAGUGCCAAAUCCUUGAAUGAAUGGGCAACUCUGAGCUAAUAGGCCAAGAAGAAAAAUUAAAUCACCUAAGGACCAUGAUAUUGGAAACCUGGAAACAACUAAAAGAGAAUGAGAAGGCAGAAAACUAACAGCACGCUCUCCCAUCUGUUAGUCUGUUUACCAGUGUCUCAGCAUCAGCUCAUGUAUGCCGAGGGUUUAUUCAUCCCAGCGUUAUGUGAGUAAAUUGGGAAAAUUGGUUUCCUCUGGUAAAAAACACUUACACUUCAAAGUAUUUUCCCUACAUUCAUACUCCUAAUUUUCCCUUUUUGAUCUUUACAUCUGUUGUCGUACAGAUCCAAAAGCCCCAAGAUCCUGACUUCCCCUCCAACCAUCCCAAACACAUGGUUAGUAUUUAACAUCCAGAGCUUCAUUUUCGUUUUUUACUACUUAUAAUUUUGAAUGAAACUAUCACAAGAAAUGAAAUUCAAAGAAAAGAUAAUAUCAAAUAUGUCUUUAAGACUAAAUUUAU